Molecule: ribosomal RNA, 253 nt
Filed under: uncultured bacterium
Lineage: Bacteria
Description: partial 16S ribosomal RNA
Rfam family: Bacterial small subunit ribosomal RNA
Source: RNAcentral
UACGUAGGGUGCGAGCGUUAAUCGGAAUUACUGGGCGUAAAGCGUGCGCAGGCGGCUUCUCAAGUCAGGGGUGAAAGCCCAGAGCUCAACUCUGGAACUGCCUUUGAGACUGAGUGGCUUGAGUACGAGAGAGGUGAGUGGAAUUCCCAGUGUAGAGGUGAAAUUCGUAGAUAUUGGGAAGAACACCGGUGGCGAAGGCGGCUCACUGGCUCGUAACUGACGCUCAUGCACGACAGCGUGGGGAUCAAACAGG